This 460-nucleotide ribosomal RNA is filed under the name uncultured bacterium. Its description in RNAcentral is "partial 16S ribosomal RNA". It matches the Rfam family "Bacterial small subunit ribosomal RNA", at positions 338 to 795 of the family's 1533-position model. The record is from RNAcentral.
CCUACGAGAGGCAGCAGUGAGGAAUAUUGGUCAAUGGGCGCGAGCCUGAACCAGCCAAGUAGCGUGAAGGAUGCCUGCCCAAUGGGUUGUAAACUUCUUUUUUAAGGGAAUAAAGUGCGGUAUGUAUACUUUUUUGCAUGUCCCUUAUGAUUAAGGUUCGGCUAACUCCGUGCCAGCAGCCGCGGUAAUACGGAGGAUCCGAGCGUUAUCCGGAUUUAUUGGGUUUAAAGGGAGCGUAGGUGGGUUGUUAAGUCAGUUGUGAAAGUUUGCGGCUCAACCGUAAAAUUGCAGUUGAUACUGGCAGCCUUGAGUACAGUAGAGGUAGGCGGAAUUCGUGGUGUAGCGGUGAAAUGCUUAGAUAUCACGAAGAACUCCGAUUGCGAAGGCAGCCUGCUGGACUGUAACUGACGCUGAUGCUCGAAAGUGUGGGUAUCAAACAGGAUUAGAUACCCGAGUAGUC